UGUUGAAAGAAUUAUGAUAUGUUAACGAAAUGUCGCUUGUGACUACGGAAUGGAAAAAGUACAAGAAUUUAUUUAUUUUUAAAUUGAUUCCGUGAAUGAUUCAAUGUUCACAUGAUCAUGGCUUAUCAAAGUGCAGCUGCAAGGACAUGCUCUUGGCCCACUGGUUAUAAACAGAAUGUCAAACCGUCCCCAAAUCUUCCCUUGGCGUUUGUUUUUCGGCAAUUUCUCCACACCAAAUUUUUGUCUCGUGAUGGCACCAAUUAAUAGAGAUGUCAGAUGUUCAGCCCGUGUCCAACUGGCCCAACCUGUUGCGGUUUAUUUUCUCUCCGGACCGCGCGGGUCGGCCCAUCGCAUGCGGUUUGAAAAUCUGUGUCCAGACCCGCCCUGCAUAUUUUAACGGGUUAGCGGGUCAGCCCGCAGGUUGUAACCAAAACAUGUUUCAAUUGUUUUGUAACCCAAAAUCUGUUUAUGUUUCUAUCGUUUUUGAAGAACUUUAUGGGAACCAACCCUGAUUUGACUAGAUCUGCAAAUAAUAAUCGACCCUAAGAGUGUUAGACAAAGUCUUAGACUAGGACAGUGGCGGAGCGAGAAAAAAAAUUUACAGGGGUCAAUUUUAGUUUAUAAUGUAUUCUAAACAAAUUUUACGGGGGUCAUUUAGCUAAAUUAUUAAUAUUAUAUCUAAUUUUUACAUAAAAAUUAUAAAUAUUUAUAAAAAAAAUUUGAAUUUCACCUGAGUCAAUUGCACCCCCUCCUAACAUGCUCCCUCCGCCGCUGGACUAGGAGAUCUUGAUGAGCUGCUUCUGUAAAUAUGUGCUUGACCAUCAUCUGAACUUUCCCGUCAGAUAGAAAACAGCAUGUAGUAUCCACUGCUGUCAUCUCUGCAAAUUAACAAUUGAUAGGGACAGCAUUCAUUAAGUUUGUAAAGGACUUUCAACUCAGUAGAAUCAAAGUCUUUUUACUAAUCAUGUACAUGAAUGCUUGCUCUAAAUCUUGGAACGUUUUUUUUAUAAACCAGAACUUUAGAGGAGAAGCAAAGAGUUACGAAACCUCCAAUAAAAACAUUCUUAAAAUACCCAUUGAAAAAGUACAACAGGAGAAACAAUAAAAGAAGACAAAGCAAAAGGAGAAGUUAUCGUCAAACAACAAAAGAAGACAAAAUUUUCUAUGCUAGAAAAUCGACGGCAUGGAGAACUAAGGUGGACUGAUUCCAACGAGAUACCAAUAAUCCAUUUCUUGUGACCCUAAGAAAAAUGCAAUGAGAUGAAUCAAACAUGUAGUUAAUAACGACAACUAAAAAUAAUCUUACUUGGCUUAAUGGCCAUUCAUUCAAUUUAAAAAAAAACAGUUUCAAGCAAGAUAAAAAAAUUCCAGAAGUAGCAAAAUGAGUUAUGUAGAAAGAUAAUUUGGACUGAAUAGCAAAAGAAUCUUAAGCUGCGAUGGAAUAAAGAGAAUUUAGAAAAUUCAGAGAAUCCAAGUAUGUAAUUCCUUAUGAAGUCAGAAAACAUAUAAAGCAAUGGAAAUCGAAACUGCCACAGACCAAAAUUGCAAAAUUCCAGAUGAACAGUGAGGGAUGUCACCUGUAAUCUAGACUCGAAAUCUUUUGCUGAUUAGUGCUUUAAUCAACUAUCUUAAAAUGCCACAAUAAGAAAUGCAAACCAAAAUCCAAAAAGACAUGAUAACAAUUUGGAGAUUAUCAAUCAGAUUCAAGAGUUAACCAUGUCUGGUUUGUGGAGACCCAGAACGGAUCUGCCCUAUAUCGAUGAAUAUGGUGCCCGGAUUAUUACCAGAGUUUCCAUUUGGUGUGUGAUUCAAAGGCAAUCGAAGGAACCCGCUAAACCCGGGAAUCAAAG
Molecule: long non-coding RNA, 1850 nt
Filed under: Eutrema salsugineum
Lineage: Eukaryota; Viridiplantae; Streptophyta; Magnoliopsida; Brassicales; Brassicaceae
Description: long non-coding RNA (ESAL_LNC000222)
Source: RNAcentral